This 490-nucleotide ribosomal RNA is filed under the name uncultured bacterium. RNAcentral's name for it is "partial 16S ribosomal RNA". It matches the Rfam family "Bacterial small subunit ribosomal RNA", at positions 30 to 507 of the family's 1533-position model. The record is from RNAcentral.
AUUGAACGCUGGCGGCAGGCCUAACACAUGCCAGUCGAACGGUAACAGGAAGAAGCUUGCUUCUUUGCUGACGAGUGGCGGACGGGUGAGUAAUGUCUGGGAAACUGCCUGAUGGAGGGGGAUAACUACUGGAAACGGUAGCUAAUACCGCAUAACGUCGCAAGACCAAAGAGGGGGACCUUCGGGCCUCUUGCCAUCGGAUGUGCCCAGAUGGGAUUAGCUAGUAGGUGGGGUAACGGCUCACCUAGGCGACGAUCCCUAGCUGGUCUGAGAGGAUGACCAGCCACACUGGAACUGAGACACGGUCCAGACUCCUACUGGAGGCAGCAGUGGGGAAUAUUGCACAAUGGGCGCAAGCCUGAUGCAGCCAUGCCGCGUGUAUGAAGAAGGCCUUCGGGUUGUAAAGUACUUUCAGCGGGGAGGAAGGGAGUAAAGUUAAUACCUUUGCUCAUUGACGUUACCCGCAGAAGAAGCACCGGCUAACUCCGUG